CUUUAAGUAUUGUUCAGCACAUACAAUGUCGAAUUGUGAGCUUUCGAUCUUUUGCACCAGUGGUACGACUUUCUUUAUAAGAUUGGUGAUUUUCGCUUUGUAAUGCUUCGUUUCUGUGCUAGCAUUUCACGAGAUUCUCGCGACAUGUUUACGUUCUACGAUUUGUCUUGUUUCAAAAUGAGUCAAACGACGCCAUUCUUUCGCUGAUUUACAUCCGUCUUCGAAGGACCAUAAUAAUAGAUGCGAUUGUUUACUUGCUUUUAACUGCCUAGCUAGCAGUCCUUUGUUUUACCCAAGAAAAACAGCGAGUAACCGAGGUAAAACUUAUUUU
This is a non-coding RNA of Paramuricea clavata, 331 nucleotides long. The record is from the annotation of a GenBank genome assembly. NCBI's taxonomy places the organism in Eukaryota, Metazoa, Cnidaria, Anthozoa, Malacalcyonacea, Plexauridae.